AGCACAGACGCCUCCAAGUGUGCAGGGCACUGAUGGGGGCCAGGGCAGGCCCAGCCAAAGUCCAGGACCUGGCACUUAGUCGGAGGUGAGGGUG
This is a microRNA precursor of Chlorocebus sabaeus (green monkey), 94 nucleotides long. NCBI's taxonomy places the organism in Eukaryota, Metazoa, Chordata, Mammalia, Primates, Cercopithecidae. The record is from Ensembl.